RNAcentral lists this ribosomal RNA (387 nucleotides) under Ochromonas perlata. Its description in RNAcentral is "partial small subunit ribosomal RNA". It matches the Rfam family "Eukaryotic small subunit ribosomal RNA", at positions 30 to 432 of the family's 1831-position model. The record is from RNAcentral. Lineage: Eukaryota; Chrysophyceae; Chromulinales; Chromulinaceae.
GCUUGUCUCAAAGAUUAAGCCAUGCAUGUCUAAGUAUAAACAACUUUAUACGUGAAACUGCGAAUGGCUCAUUAUAUCAGUUAUAGUUUCUUUGAUGGUGACACUACUUGGAUAACCGUAGUAAUUCUAGAGCUAAUACAUGCAGCAAUCCCUGACUUAGGAAAGGGUGUACUUAUUAGAUGGAAACCAAUGCGGGGCAACCCGGAAUAUGGUGAAUCAUAAUAACUGUCGUAUCGAGCAAUCGAAGCGCCAUACAAGUUUCUGCCCUAUCAGCUUUGGAUGGUAGGGUAUUGGCCUACCAUGGCUUUAACGGGUAACGGAGAAUUAGGGUUCGAUUCCGGAGAGGGAGCCUGAGAAACGGCUACCACAUCCAAGGAAGGCAGCAGG